This 483-nucleotide ribosomal RNA is filed under the name uncultured bacterium. Its description in RNAcentral is "bacterial SSU rRNA". It matches the Rfam family "Bacterial small subunit ribosomal RNA", at positions 28 to 526 of the family's 1533-position model. The record is from RNAcentral.
GACGAACGCUGGCGGCGUGCUUAACACAUGCAAGUCGAGCGGUAAGGCUCCUUCGGGAGUACACGAGCGGCGAACGGGUGAGUAACACGUGAGUAAUCUGCCCUUCACUUUGGGAUAAGCCUCGGAAACGGGGUCUAAUACCGAAUACGACCACUUCAGGCAUCUGAUGGUGGUGGAAAGUUUUUCGGUGGAGGAUGUGCUCGCGGCCUAUCAGCUUGUUGGUGAGGUAAUGGCUCACCAAGGCUUCGACGGGUAGCCGGCCUGAGAGGGUGACCGGCCACACUGGGACUGAGACACGGCCCAGACUCCUACGGGAGGCAGCAGUGGGGAAUAUUGGACAAUGGGCGAAAGCCUGAUCCAGCAACGCCGCGUGAGGGAUGACUGCCUUCGGGUUGUAAACCUCUUUCAGUACCGACGAAGCGAAAGUGACGGUAGGUACAGAAGAAGCACCGGCCAACUACGUGCCAGCCGCCGCAGUAAUAC